CCGACGGACCUAGGCGGGCCACCCGGCUCUCCUCGCCGCCGCCGCGGCGGGCGCGGGGCCGCGCCGCGAGGCCUGAUCCCUGCAGCGCGGGCGGGCGGCGUCGCAAAGGGGAGCGAGCUCGAGGCGCCCGGACUCCUGCAGCACGUGAGAGUGAAUUCCCAGUGAUUGCUUUGGCCCCUACAACCAGAGAACAGGAUUCUUCCAUUCUUUUUGGCCACUAAAUGCCUAUGUAUACCACACAUUCCUGCGAGGGAAGAAGGGCGGAGCUUCUUGGAUGAUGAUGGACAUUCCACUGGACAGGAUGAGGGCAGAGAGUGUGACAUCGAUACCACAAAGGAGGAUCACCGAUGGACCUGCUGGGGGUUGUAAAAGUGCAGAUGCUAAACCUACAGAAGCAGAAUCUCCGAGAGAGAAGACGGAGGAUGCGCUGCUCCCCUGCUCUGUCCUAGAAAGUCACGCCCCAUCUGGGCCUCAGUUUCCCAUCGGAGGUGACCUCAGAGCAGCAGCUCCAACUGCUGAAAACCCCCUGACUCUGCAAUGGAGACACUUCUUCUGCCUCAGCUGA
Molecule: long non-coding RNA, 565 nt
Filed under: Suricata suricatta (meerkat)
Lineage: Eukaryota; Metazoa; Chordata; Mammalia; Carnivora; Herpestidae
Description: lncRNA (ENSSSUG00005009976.1)
Source: RNAcentral